GACGUAGGGCGCGAGCGUUGUCCGGAUUUAUUGGGCGUAAAGAGCUCGUAGGCGGCUUGUCGCGUCGUCCGUGAAAACUUGGGGCUCAACCCCAAGCUUGCGGUCGAUACGGGCAGGCUAGAGUUCGGUAGGGGAGACUGGAAUUCCUGGUGUAGCGGUGAAAUGCGCAGAUAUCGGGAGGAACACCCGUAGCGAAGGCGGCACUCUGGGCCGGUACUGACGCUGAGGAGCGAAAGCGUGGGGAGCAAACAGG
This 253-nucleotide ribosomal RNA is filed under the name uncultured bacterium. RNAcentral's name for it is "partial 16S ribosomal RNA". It matches the Rfam family "Bacterial small subunit ribosomal RNA", at positions 524 to 776 of the family's 1533-position model. The record is from RNAcentral.